AUGGCNGUCGUCAGCUCGUGUCGUGAGAUGUUGGGUUAAGUCCCGCAACGAGGCAGCAACACCUUGUCCUUAGUUUGCCAGCACCGUUUAUUGGUGGGAACUCUAAGGAGACUGCCGGUGAUAAACCGGAGGAAGGUGGGGAUGACGUCAAGUCAUCAUGGCCCUUAUGGGCUGGGCUACACACGUGCUACAAUGGUCGGUACAGAGGGUCGCAAACCCGCGAGGGGGAGCCAAUCCCAGAAAGCCGAUCUUAGUCGUCGCAGUCUGCAACUCGACUGCGUGAAGUCGGAUCGCUAGUAAUCGCAAUCAGCAUGUCGCGGU
Molecule: ribosomal RNA, 321 nt
Filed under: uncultured bacterium
Lineage: Bacteria
Description: bacterial SSU rRNA
Rfam family: Bacterial small subunit ribosomal RNA
Source: RNAcentral